CCUACGGGAGGCAGCAGUGGGGAAUAUUGCACAAUGGGGGAAACCCUGAUGCAGCGACGCCGCGUGGGUGAAGGAGUAUUUCGGUAUGUAAAGCCCCAUCUGUCGGGAAGCUAAUGACGGUACCUGACCAAGAAGCCGCGGAUAACUACGUGCCAGCACCCGUGGUAAUAUGUCGGGGGCCAGCGUAAUCCGGAUGUUCUGGGGGUAAAGGGAGCGUAGGCGGCAGCGCAAGUCUGGAGUGAAAGGAUGGGGGCCAACCCCAUGACUGCUCUGGAAACUGGGCGGCUAGAGUGCCGGAGGGGUAAGCGGAAUGCUUAGUGUAGCGGUGAAAUGCGUAGAUAUUAGGAAGAACACCAGUGGCGAAGGCAGCUUACUGGACGGUAACUGACGUUGAGGCUCGAAAGCGUGGGGAGCAAACAGGAUUAGAUACCCUUGUAGUC
Molecule: ribosomal RNA, 440 nt
Filed under: uncultured bacterium
Lineage: Bacteria
Description: partial 16S ribosomal RNA
Rfam family: Bacterial small subunit ribosomal RNA
Source: RNAcentral